Molecule: long non-coding RNA, 1970 nt
Filed under: Vitis vinifera (wine grape)
Lineage: Eukaryota; Viridiplantae; Streptophyta; Magnoliopsida; Vitales; Vitaceae
Description: long non-coding RNA (VVIN_LNC002568)
Source: RNAcentral
UGUUAAUGGAAUUACCUUGCAUUAAUGACUCAUUUAACUCAUUGUUAUAAUUCCACUUCCUUACUGAAGCUAGUUUGGUUUCAGUAUUUGUUAAAGAAUGUGUUGUAUCUUCAUUUUACUAGACCAAUAUGGUUUUAUUGACAUGGUUCACGUUGUCUGUUGGGAUCCCAAAAUUUAUGGACAUGAACUGUGUUAACAAGGAACAAUAUGCUUCGACAAAUGUUUGGUUAGUAGAGGCAUCAUUGCUUGGUAAUUUUAUUGGAGUGUCUUUGUUUAGGUUCUCUUUUAGGACUUCAAGAAAUGUUUGAUUAGUGGAAGCAUUAUUGCUUGGUAAUUUUAUUGGGAUCUUUAUUUAAGUUCUCUCUCUCCCCUACUUCAGAAUUCUUGUUUCCCAUUAAUUCUUUUCUUUCAACAGAGCCAUUUUUAUAGCUUCUGUAGCAUAGAGAGAGAGAUAAUACAUCUUUUAUCCCUAAUUCCAGCUCAGAACACUUCUCAAGAAGUAAAAGUGACCUCUUCUCUUUGUUAUUUGACCUGUUCAAGCAUCGUGUUUCCAAAGGCCUUUUUUUCUUUGUUAGAAAAAUGGAGCUCUCUAGGUUUGUCUAGUGAGUAUUGUAGCUGGAAUGAGCAUGAAUGAUGGAACAACAAUGUGGAAAACUUAGUUUUGAAGUUAAAAAAUGUAUUAUGUCAACCUUACUCAUGGGAAUUUCCAACAUGCCAUCUUUGUUUCUGGUGUAAUAUUGAUGAUAUUAGUUGUACUCACUGCAUAUCCUUUUGGCUAUAUCAGUUGGUGAAACUCUAGGACUUCUGUUACAUUUCCAUGAAGUUUUGUAUGCUUUGGCUUUGAAUCCUGCUCUUUAUGAAGUUAUAUUCGUCCAACCAAGAGAUUUCACUUUUUGACUGCAUACCAAAUAGUUAAGCAUUUAAUCCCUUUCCAGGAUCUUAAAGCAGCUCCAUGCUUGUAGCUUGAUCUUCAUUUUGAAUGAAAGAUGUUCUAUAAGGUGGCAGCUUGUUAUGGGGGAAUAGAUAUGACUAAAUAUCUGUAGAUUCUGUGUGAUAUUUGGAUGCUGCAGAAUUAGGAAGGGGAGCCAGAAAAUCUCAUGUUACCAAUACUUGAUGAAAACAGUCAAACACAGAACGUUUACAUUUUUUUCCUUUUCUUUCUUUUCUCUCUUUGGUAGAGCCAAUGGGUGGGAUGAUGAGGGAAUGAGCAAAUUGGCAAAUAGAAGAGGAUGAAGUCAAUAAAUAUGAAUGGGAUAUGGAUGAAAGCAUAAAAUUUAUGAGAGCAUAAAGUUGUUCACCUAAAAAAAUAUGUAGCAACUGCUGGAUGAUUUGUUCUAGAAUGGGUGAAAAUGUGAGCUUGUUGAAAAUUAAUUGAUUGAUAUGUAUGGAAAUGUGUUCUUCACCCUUUGAUAUUAUUUUACAUCAAAUUGAAAUGGAAUUAUAUCUAAUAUAGACACCAAGAAGAAAACCGGUUUUAUAAGUGAUUUAUGGUAACUUGAUUCACUGGAUCAAAUUGUUUGAACUACUUAAUUGAUAAUGGAAAUCUGAUGCCACUCCAAACACCUGCCUUGAUGUAACUGAAACACUUAAAAUUAUUUAACUCUGAGAACUUUGUAACCUAAUAAUUAUAGAUGGCUAUGCUGGUUGGAACCAUGGUAUGCAUGAAUUUCCUUUCCUUGGGAUUUCUUUUCCUGAAAAGUAAUUGAUUUUCAUUUUUCUGUUUAGUUAUUAAUUGUUUUCUUAGCUGACAUAUGUUAAUGCUAGAAAUUUGAGGAGCAAAAGGGACUGGCAAGUCUGUAAAAGAAGUCUUAUCUUAUCUUGUCCUAGAUUUUGACAAAAUGGCAAAAAAUGGUUUAUGUAGACAGUGUAGGUGUACCUGAUAAAGGAUCAUUCAGAGUUGACCUUCAGCAGGCUCUUCAUUGUCUAAUUACUUAAAAUGUUCUUUCUUACGAUCGUGGUUUUGAUCCAGU